CUCAGGGGAAUUUCUGGCUCUGCACAAGUCCCUGGCAGGAGGGGACAGCCGGGGGGAUUUGGGAUCUCCUCUUUGGCAUAAAAACUCCGAUGGUGACCAGGAGCAGGAAGGAUAAUGAGAGAACAGGAAACUAAAAUUCCUACAGACACAGCAGGAGGAAGAACCUUGGAAGAGUUAAAGCCCAUCUCAUUCCACCCUUGACACUUUGCACUGGAUCAGGUUGUCCAAGGCUCAUCCAACCUGCCUGGUGCCUCUUAAUGACAUUAAUUAAUUCAAAUAUCUCAUGACCUGGUUGGGCUAUAAUGCAGAUAUCCAGUAUCUGCUGGCUCUAAUUGAAGAGCAAUUGAUAAAAAUUACCUUUUACUCCACAAGUAAUGGACGAAAUCACAUUUUUGACCCUUUUGCACUUCAGAAUUUGAGGAGUUGACAGUUGUAAAGCAAUACCACAUAUUUAACAGGAACUUGCAAUUAAAAAAACAACACCCAAAAAUUAUUUCAAGGAAUUUCAAGCAAGGACUGAGCCCUUUAAUUUUGCUUGUGCUCAUCCUUUUGUAAAAGGCAGCAAAAAUUUCAAACCAGUGAACUAGAAAGUCCCAGUCAGGCCUAAAACUGAGGGUUUUAUACAAUGGUUUUUCUUUUCAGCAAUAUUAUUUUAAAAGAAAUGCAAACCCACUAUCUCUGCUUCGUGAGGUAUGAAGACAAAUAUUUUUGUUUGCUUAUUGCAAACUCUUCUCCUGGAAGAGUAACCAGACUGGAACUAUCUUUUGGGUGAUGUAAACACUUCUCCCAUGAGCAAACCCACUCAUUUGCCUUAAUUUAUUUAUUGACUUUCUGUAAUUCACAAUCCAUUUCCUCAAAGCAGCAUCAGCCAAUUUCACUCCUUAUUGAAAUAACCCUCUCUUAAUUGAUAAAUUCUAUUUUCGACACAUUUCCUGGUUCUAAUAUGGCAGUUUGGGAAAUCUGACUAAAUACAGCUUGUGUCUGAGGUUAGGAAGCCUCCAAAGCUUUCGUAUCCCAGACUUUCACAGCAUAAGCAAAAGCUGUCAAAAGCUGCCACUAGAAAAUCCCUUUAUUUAGAAUAUCUUGAGACAAACAUUUGACAAGAGUUUUCUUUCACUUCCCCAUGUGCCACUGCUGCUCAGUCAACCAGGAAAAAGAAAUCCCCUACAAAGCCUCCACUAAUGCAUAUUUAUUUAUUUUUGAAGGUUUUUUUUUCUCCCCCCCAUUACAUCUCAACUAAAACUUCCUUGAGCUUAAUCCUCUUGAGGAAGCCAGAAGACAGAUCAGCUUCCCUGGAGGCCUCCCAAGGCUGAUCCCUGACAGGAUUGGAGAACCAGGAUAUGGAAAUGCAGGAUCCAGGAUGUUCUCUAGCCUCAGCACAGCAUCCCCUCUGCUCAGGGCCUCCCACUUUUGUGGAAUUAGAACUUUUGGAGAGGCUUUUAUUAGAAAUACAAACAAGGAAAUGUGGUUCUUUUUUUUCCUCUCAGCCUCCAUGUUUCACCUCAGAUUUUCUCCCUCAAAGCAUUAUAAAAAUAACAAGGGGCCAGAAGCCUUUCAACAAGUUUUGUGUUGAAAAACAACAAAAUAUCACAAAAUACAAAGCCCCAGGUGGUUUUGCAAAGCACAUGAGAAGAUUUCAGUGACCUGUGUGCAUGUUUUGAAUCUAAGUGUGAGCAAGAAGCACAGAACUUCUCAAACAGAGCAAAACUUCAGCCUUUAGGGUUUAUUUAUUUUAAAAAUGUGACAUCAAAGCAAUUCCUUCCACCAAUUAUGCUGGAUACAGUCACAGAGCCUCUGUGUGGCAGAUGAUAAUAAUUCCCUGAUCUCUUACAAAUAAAAAUUCCUAAUCCCCUG
Molecule: long non-coding RNA, 1854 nt
Organism: Parus major (Great Tit)
Lineage: Eukaryota; Metazoa; Chordata; Aves; Passeriformes; Paridae
Exons: 3
Source: RefSeq, a predicted model, not a curated record